RNAcentral lists this ribosomal RNA (467 nucleotides) under uncultured bacterium. Its description in RNAcentral is "partial 16S ribosomal RNA". It matches the Rfam family "Bacterial small subunit ribosomal RNA", at positions 28 to 506 of the family's 1533-position model. The record is from RNAcentral.
GACGAACGCUGGCGGCGUGCUUAACACAUGCAAGUCGAACGGUGAAGCUCCAGCUUGCUGGAGUGGUUCAGUGGCGAACGGGUGAGUAACACGUGAGCAACCUGCCCUUGACUCUGGAAUAAGCGCUGGAAACGGCGUCUAAUACUGGAUACGAGAAGGGUCCGCAUGGGCACUUUCUGGAAAGUUGUUCGGUUGGGGAUGGGCUCGCGGCCUAUCAGCUUGUUGGUGAGGUAAUGGCUCACCAAGGCGUCGACGGGUAGCCGGCCUGAGGGGGCGACCGGCCACACGGGGACUGGGACACGGCCCGGACUCCUACGGGAGGCAGCGGUGGGGAAUAUUGCACAAGGGGCGAAAGCCGGAUGCGGCGACGCCGCGUGGGGAAGGACGGCCUUCGGUUGGAAAACCUCUUUCAGCAGGGAAGAAGCUAAAGUGACGGUACCGGCAGAGGAAGCACGGGCUAACUACGG